GUCCCUUACGAAUUUGAAUAUAUCCUAAUACCUUUCGUUCUAUUAAAGUUAAAAAAGCUACUCCGACUAAUACACAAACUAUUAAAAUUAAUAAAGUUAAAAAUAUUAAAAAUAUAUCUUUUAUUAUUAUUUGUAUAAAUACUAUACAUUUAAAGAUUCUAAAUCCAUCGCACUAUUCUGCCAAAAUAAUAAUUUUAUUCAAAUAAUAAAUUAUUAACUAAAAUUUUGGUCCUUUCGUACUAAAAACUUUUAACUUUAUAAAGAUAGAAACCAACCUGGCUUACACCGGUUUAAACUCAGAUCAUGUAAAGUUUUAAUGGUCGAACAGACCAAAUAUUUUAGCUUCUACACCAAAUAUUAACUUUAAUCCAACAUCGAGGUCGCAAUCUCUUUUUUCGAUUUGAACUCUAAAAAAAAAUAACGCUGUUAUCCCUAAGGUAAUUUAAUCUUUUAAUCAUUUUUAUGGAUCAUUUAAUCAUAAAUCAAUGGUUUUAUAAAAAAAAAGUUAUAUUAAUUUUUCAAUCACCCCAAUCAAAUUAUAAAAAAAAUUUAAAUUUAAAAUUCUAAAAUUUAUAAAUAAUAAUAUAUAAUAAAACUCUAUAGGGUCUUCUCGUCUAUUAUAAAUAUUUAAGCUUUUUAACUUAAAAAUAAAGUUUUUUAAAAAAUUAAUCAUAGAAAGUUAUUUUCUCAUCAAACCAUUCAUACAAGCUUUCAAUUAAAAAACUAAUGAUUAUGCUACCUUUGCACAGUCAAAAUACUGCGGCCCUUCAAAAUUCAGUGGGCAGGCCCUACUUUAAAUUAUAUUCAAAAAGAGAUGUUUUUGUAAAACAGGCGA
This 835-nucleotide ribosomal RNA is filed under the name Adalia decempunctata. Its description in RNAcentral is "partial 16S ribosomal RNA". Lineage: Eukaryota; Metazoa; Arthropoda; Insecta; Coleoptera; Coccinellidae. The record is from RNAcentral.